UACGGAGGGUGCGAGCGUUGUCCGGAAUCACUGGGCGUAAAGGGCGCGUAGGCGGCGCGGAUAGUCGGCGGUGAAAGCCCGGAGCUCAACUCCGGGUCGGCCGUCGAUACUUCCGGGCUUGAGCACUGUAGAGGCAGAUGGAAUUCCGGGUGUAGCGGUGGAAUGCGUAGAGAUCCGGAAGAACACCGGUGGCGAAGGCGGUCUGCUGGGCAGUUGCUGACGCUGAGGCGCGAAGGCGUGGGGAGCGAACGGG
Molecule: ribosomal RNA, 253 nt
Filed under: uncultured bacterium
Lineage: Bacteria
Description: partial 16S ribosomal RNA
Rfam family: Bacterial small subunit ribosomal RNA
Source: RNAcentral